RNAcentral lists this ribosomal RNA (580 nucleotides) under uncultured Arcobacter sp. RNAcentral's name for it is "bacterial SSU rRNA". It matches the Rfam family "Bacterial small subunit ribosomal RNA", at positions 69 to 666 of the family's 1533-position model. Lineage: Bacteria; Pseudomonadati; Campylobacterota; Epsilonproteobacteria; Campylobacterales; Arcobacteraceae. The record is from RNAcentral.
AGAUUAGCUUGCUAUAGUUGUCAGCUAAGUGGCGCACGGGUGAGUAAUGUAUAGAUAACCUGCCCUCUAGAAAGGAAUAACAGUUGGAAACGACUGCUAAUGCCCUAUAUGCCUUUAAUACAUAAGUAUGCAAGGGAAACGCUUUAGUGCUAGAGGAUGGGUCUGUAUGGUAUCAGCUAGUUGGUGAGGUAAUGGCUCACCAAGGCUAUGACGCCUAACUGGUUUGAGAGGAUGAUCAGUCACACUGGAACUGAGACACGGUCCAGACUCCUACGGGAGGCAGCAGUGGGGAAUAUUGCACAAUGGACGAAAGUCUGAUGCAGCAACGCCGCGUGGAGGAUGACACAUUUCGGUGCGUAAACUCCUUUUAUAUAGGAAGAUAAUGACGGUACUAUAUGAAUAAGCACCGGCUAACUCCGUGCCAGCAGCCGCGGUAAUACGGAGGGUGCAAGCGUUACUCGGAAUCACUGGGCGUAAAGAGCGUGUAGGCGGGUAUAUAAGUCAGAAGUGAAAUCCUAUAGCUUAACUAUAGAACUGCUUUUGAAACUGUAUACCUAGAAUGUGGGAGAGGUAGAUGGAA